GAUCUGGAACAUAUUUAUGUAUCAGUAGCAGCAAUAUUCUUUUUGGGAAUUGUGCAUAUGAGUCAUUUCUACAUAGUAAAGCUAAUCAUUGUUGUCCGAGGAACAUAGCUUAUGAUGAUUGUGCAACUGUUUAAUUUUUGAUAGAUUUGGUAUCAUAAAAUUUACUAAAGUAUGCAUCAGUUGCACCUGCCUAUAUUUCGUACCUCUGUUAGAUUUUUCGUUUAUAGAAGAUGAUGUGCCGGUUCAAUACCUGGUUUCCACUUUUAUGAUAAAUCAAUGUUUCCUUGCUUGCGAAGUGUGAUAAUGAGGAAAUUUUGGGAUUUGCUAAGCUGUUCAAUGAUGAACUCACACUAGAUAAUAUCAGCAGGCCUCGUCUAGUGAAUAUGUGCAAGUACAUGGGAAUCAGCUCUAUUGGAACAGACUCUUACUUGCGGUAUAUGCUACGGAAAAGGUUGCAAAGGUGUGUUGUUUCCCAUUCCCUUCACUGUGGUAGCAGCAACAUAUAGUCAUAUUCAAAUAUGACUAUAGUCAUAUUUAUGUAUUUAAUUAGAUGAAUUGAAGCGUACUCCCCC
Erythranthe guttata (spotted monkey flower) is the source of this 572-nucleotide long non-coding RNA. RefSeq lists it as uncharacterized. The record is from RefSeq and is a predicted model, not a curated record. Lineage: Eukaryota; Viridiplantae; Streptophyta; Magnoliopsida; Lamiales; Phrymaceae.